Molecule: ribosomal RNA, 254 nt
Filed under: uncultured bacterium
Lineage: Bacteria
Description: partial 16S ribosomal RNA
Rfam family: Bacterial small subunit ribosomal RNA
Source: RNAcentral
UACGUAGGGUGCGAGCGUUGUCCGGAUUUAUUGGGCGUAAAGAGCUCGUAGGUGGUUUGUUGCGUCUGCCGUGAAAACCCGAGGCUUAACCUCGUGGCUUGCGGUGGAUACGGGCAGACUUGAGGUAGGUAGGGGAGAAUGGAAUUCCCGGUGUAGCGGUGAAAUGCGCAGAUAUCGGGAGGAACACCGGUGGCGAAGGCGGUUCUCUGGGCCUUACCUGACGCUGAGGAGCGAAAGCGUGGGGAGCGAACAGG